UACGGAGGGGGCUAGCGUUGUUCGGAAUUACUGGGCGUAAAGCGCGCGUAGGCGGACCUGCAAGUCGGGGGUGAAAGCCCGAGGCUCAACCUCGGAACUGCCUUCGAUACUGCGGGUCUCGAGUCCGGGAGAGGUGAGUGGAAUUCCUAGUGUAGAGGUGAAAUGCGCAGAUAUCAGGAAGAACACCAAUGGCGAAGGCAGCUCUCUGGGACGGUACUGACGCUGAGACGCGAAAGCGUGGGGAGCGAACAGG
This 253-nucleotide ribosomal RNA is filed under the name uncultured bacterium. RNAcentral's name for it is "partial 16S ribosomal RNA". It matches the Rfam family "Bacterial small subunit ribosomal RNA", at positions 524 to 776 of the family's 1533-position model. The record is from RNAcentral.